UAUAAAAUAUUUAUUUUACAUAUAAAAUGAGUGGAGGGGGAAUCGAAACUUUCUGACCAGAUUGGGAGUCGGGGGGGGGGGGGCGCCCUGCGGUGCAUCAAGGAAAUAAUAUGUGUCGCCUUGCUUAAGACGUGUCAGUGUCGCAUAUCGGCUGUGUAUGAUUUUCAUUAUACCACAUUCUGCUACUAUUUACACGAUUAGUGAUCGAUCGCGAAGAUGACGACUUUGACAGAACAUAACUUUAUCGUAUGAACGUCACGAUGAGUUAUGGUUAAUCGAUCAUUAUCAUGGAAAUUUGAUUCAAUUUAUUGUAACAAAGAAAGAAAGAAGUACGAAGAGAACGUGUGUGAUUAUGCGCAAUGCGGUCGAUAGAAUCAGUGUUUAUUAUCAUCAAGUUGAAUUAGAAUUGUACGUGGCGUCGUAAUAUUCGAGUCAGAGUUUGCCGAUUGUCAAGUAAACGACUACAUUGAUAGUCUUUUCUUUUCCUUUUGCUUUAUAUACAUCUAUGUAUGUAUGUAUAAUCUCAUUUCUAAAUAUUCACGUAAUGCUUCAAAGUCAGUGCUUCUCUCAAGAGGAUUCAACUUCCGCAGCUGAUCGAAAAUGUAAGUGCUUUGCAUACUAUUUUUUAAUUUAUAUUAUUCCCUGUAUUUUUCAUUCGAAUUAUUACCAAUCGAAAGACAUCGUUCGAGAAAUAAUCAAUAUUUGUUUUCCUGCCCAAGUAACGUCUGAAAGGUUUGAAUUUAAAUUAUAGGAUAAAAACGAUUAACUUGCUUUAGACGUUAGAGUAUUAUAGUCUCAAUUCCUAGAUUUCAAGCUCGUAAUUCGGAAUUAUUUUAAACGUUCAUUGAUCAAAAUCUUUUAUGUCACAAACACUGUAUUUUUAAGAAAACAUUGUAGUAUUUCGUAUUUUUCUGCUGUACAUUGAGUCGGCAAUGUUAAAGUAGUAAAACGAUAAAGAGGCUGUAGAGUAGCCGAAUUGUAGAACAAAAAGAAGCAUCGAACGGUGUCUAUUCUAGUUAGUCCGCCGCAUAAUUUCUACGGCUUGGUGUUACCUUCAUUAUCUCCAUUGUUAUCGGCUUAUACGAUCACGACAAAAGGGUGAACGCCUCCCAUCGUUCGCCUUCAUGGCGAUAGACGUCUGUCAACGCUUCCUCCACCUAUCCUAUCGUCGUCGACGUAUCGCAAUGACGUAAUUGUGCGGAAAAGCGUCUCGUUAAUCAAACGUUACGCAUUACAAGAAUCGAUAGUUGUCUCCCUUGAGCUUUGUUCCUUUCUUGCAGGUCAGAUCUUCGUCAGAUCAGAACGAUCGUCAGAGUUUCGCUACAUAGAGCACACGGUUAUCGUCCGUUUCUUAGCUUAUCGUCCGUAUUUCAGACACGAGAGUACAACUUUACCGUUACUUUUCUCGCUUUUCGGAGAACGAAAGGGGCGAUCGCAACCGUUUCAUCCAUGAUUAUUUCCACUUGCAUCGUUUGCCCUCACACGGUUGUCGAGUCGCACAGGUCCACGUAUAUAUGCUGGUUUCCGGCUAGAAAAAAUCACGCAAAUAUUUCUUGGCUAGCAAUCUUGUUGCUGUGUCGUUGGAAUGGACCGACCGAAUGCACUGGCCAUUCAUGCAGGACUUCAAUCGAUGAAGCGAAUAUCGAAAACGUUCCCCUGUGUACGUGGACCGAAUUGAUUGAACAAGCGCGCGCACAUAUCUAAUUUACGUGCAAGCCGGGUGGAAGGCUGGAAAAACGUCGCGGACGUUGUCGAUGAAAGUAACCAGUUGGCGAAUGGAAUUGCCUUGCUGUGCGCGCUUUCCUUUCUGACCGGUCAAUAUGUACCGUCGUGAAAGAAAGAAACCGACUAAUGAAAACAGUUUUACGAUUAAUAGCUGUAAUUUUCCGUCGACAAGGAGCCGCGCGGAACUUGGUUAACUGAACGCGUUCAACUUCUGCCAGUUUUCUAUCUUGCGAUAAAUAGAACGUUACGUCGCCAUUAAGACGAAAUUCGAGCGGAACAGGGCAGAGGUGGAGCAACGCGACGCGACGAGAAAGAAAGCUGGAGAGAAGGAUCGUGGCAGCGCGACUGUUCGAAACAGAAGAAGAGACAAGAAGGACGGUCUCUCGUGGCUGUACAAUUGAGCCUGAAAUCAGGCGAAAUCGAAAAAUUAAUCGAGUCGAUUCUUCGUUGAAUAGAAUCGAUAUGAAUUCUCUUGGAUUGGGUUUUGUGUCGUCUUCGUAUUUUCAGUUUUUCUUUGCAAUCCGAGCUCUCCAUUCGUCGCCGACGAGAUAAAGCGAUGCCCCAAAAGAGCAAUUUAUCGCCCUCACGCCUCGCUAUCGCCUGCUAAUUAUUCCCGCUACCCUGUCGGAACAAUAAUGUUCUGUAACGACGCUUUAUUGCGAAUUACGCGUGAUUUGUAACGCACGUUCCGUUACCGCUACCGUUGCCGGCAAAUUAAUUCUAAAAUCGCGCAUAAAGAGCAUAAAGGGAGCCAUUAAAAUAAGGACAACGCUGUUUGUUGCCUUACCGAUGACAAUUUAGUUGGUAUUUGUGCAAGCGUGGGAAUUAGCUAAACAAUCGGGGCGAAAGAUUUAUUAGUUACGAGGAUAUGUUUGCGCGUAUAAAAUUGGGACGGUUAGACUCGACGAUGAUGCAUCAAAACGUCCAGCCAUUUUUCACCGUUCCUUACAAACUCCGGAAUCGAAACUCUGUUUUCCACGGUGCUCGUUUGUCUCGGAUUUUCUUCAGGCUCCUUGGCAAGUCGUUAACGAAUGUUCGAAAAAAAUUUUAAUCAUUUUAGUAGAUUAGACGAUGGGGUUCGUGCGACGGCACAGUCAGCGUCCAGCGGUGCUGACCGAGUUCACGAUCCAUUAAUUUCUCCCUGGACGAAGCAGAUUAAACGGAAAGAAAGAGAUUAUACGCGGAUGAUUAAAAUCCGAAUGGACAAAGACGAGACGCGCGGGCAGAUGUGACCGAAUGCGGCGCAGCGUGUGCGUUCACCACUAGCCUCGAGGUUUCCACAGCUCUCCGCAAUAACCGGUGAAUUUGCUUUUAGGUAAAUUGUCAUUUAGCGCUCACCGCCGAACCAGAAAACUACCUUCGCAAUCCGUUAUUACCCACCGGAAGUGAAUUACAUCUACUAAUUAAUUUACGAAGGUGAAUCUGCUGCGGUGGCGGUCGUUAUAUCGAUCAAUAAAUUGAAAUUGUGAAAACAUCUUGCUAUGGCCGCAAUUAAGAUUAUUUGUCGAAACGACAAUGCGAAUUAAAGCCAAUUCCGAUAAUUUAUCGUUUGUUCUCUGUUGGAUGGAACUCGGUUACCGUUUUAUUCGUAGGGUGAUCGCGUGCACCGAGAUGCGCGCGAGGAGAGAAAACACGAUGGACUCGCGAAUACAAACUCGGAUUACGUACACGUGUACGGGAAGGGAAUACGUCGAAAAAAUUACGGUGCAGGUACUAAUUGGGUCGUAUAACGCGCAAUUCAAAUAAUUUCGCCGUUCAUAUUUAUCGAAUGUCACUGUGUCGCUCGUCACUGUGAAAACGCG
Molecule: long non-coding RNA, 3527 nt
Organism: Bombus huntii
Lineage: Eukaryota; Metazoa; Arthropoda; Insecta; Hymenoptera; Apidae
Exons: 3
Source: RefSeq, a predicted model, not a curated record